Mytilus trossulus (common blue mussel) is the source of this 914-nucleotide RNA transcript. RefSeq lists it as uncharacterized. The record is from RefSeq and is a predicted model, not a curated record. Lineage: Eukaryota; Metazoa; Mollusca; Bivalvia; Mytilida; Mytilidae. The transcript has 3 exons.
AUAUAAUCUAGACCACGUUCCUAUCAGUACAUUCAAGUUUAUCGGUAUUACCGUGUUAUAUUACUACACAGAAAUUUGGAUUCUGUGUUUGUAUUUCGAUUAUGGUGUUGGUAGUCUCUAUUUCUUUAUGUUUAAUUGUACUAAACGUCAUCGAACUGACUAAUGCAUCUUACAAGAAAGGUGUGGGAAUGUGAGAAGCAAAAAUUACCGGUGUUCAGAUGAAUCCACCUUUAAUAACGUUCAUUGGUGGUACGACUGGCAACAAUCACCUGAUCGUAUGCACCUUCGCCACCGUUGUCCGUUAAACGUUAGAUCCGGGUAUGUUCCAAUGGUAAAUGGCAAAAAUUUUGAAAGAGGAAUCAAUGUAUCUGCCAAUACACAAUACCUACUUGGAUUCAAUGAGCCUGACCACCCUGAACAGGGAAAUUUAACAGCAGCGCAAGCGUCGGUAAUGUGGAAAGAAUUGGAAAAACACGCCGCAGGGAAAAUCUUGGUAAGUCCUGCAGUAACCAGUCUUGACUGGUUGCAACAGUUUUUUCAGCAUUGUCACAAUUGCAGAGUUGACCACAUAGCAGUACAUCUUUAUAGAUGCGAAGCACACCAAAUCAUGGCUUUUGUAAAGCAAGCAUGGGAUAGAUUCCAUAAACCAAUAUGGCUGACUGAAUUUGCUUGUCCACAUACUACAUCAGAAAAUGAUCAGCUUCGUAUGAUGAGAGAGAUUCUUCCACUUUUGGAGUCUGCACCAUAUGUAUUUCGUUAUGCAUGGUUUGCUAGUAGAUGGUUGAAACAUGUAAGUGAUGGCGCUUGGGUAGAUAUAUCAGCAUCUCUGAUAAAAGAAAAUACUUCAGAACUUUCAGCACUUGGACAUUAUUAUAAUAACUUUAUGCAUUAAAAUUGAAAUCAAUAGUUUUUAA